Molecule: ribosomal RNA, 428 nt
Filed under: uncultured bacterium
Lineage: Bacteria
Description: partial 16S ribosomal RNA
Rfam family: Bacterial small subunit ribosomal RNA
Source: RNAcentral
GUGGGGAAUAUUGGGCAAUGGGCGGAAGCCUGACCCAGCGACGCCGCGUGGGGGAAGAAGUCUUUCGGGAUGUAAACCCUUGUUGUACGGGACGAAGGAAGUGACGGUACCGUACGAGGAAGCCCCGGCAAACUACGUGCCAGCAGCCGCGGUAAUACGUAGGGGGCGAGCGUUGUCCGGAAUCACUGGGCGUAAAGCGCACGUAGGCGGGCUGUCAAGUCGGCCGUGAAAGGCACGGGCUCAGCCUGUGCAUGUCGGUCGAUACUGGCGGUCUGGAGUAUGGGAGAGUGAACUGGAAUUCCCGGUGUAGCGGUGAAAUGCGAAGAUAUCGGGAGGAACACCAGUGGCGAAGGCGGGUUCCUGGCCCAUGACUGACGCUGAGGUGCGAAAGCCGGGGGAGCGAACGGGAUUAGAUACCCGAGUAGUCC